This 759-nucleotide ribosomal RNA is filed under the name uncultured bacterium. Its description in RNAcentral is "bacterial SSU rRNA". It matches the Rfam family "Bacterial small subunit ribosomal RNA", at positions 636 to 1395 of the family's 1533-position model. The record is from RNAcentral.
UNUGACUUGAGUGCAGAAGGGGAGAGUGGAAUUCCAUGUGUAGCGGUGAAAUGCGUAGAUAUAUGGAGGAACACCAGUGGCGAAAGCGGCUCUCUGGUCUGUCACUGACGCUGAGGCUCGAAAGCGUGGGUAGCGAACAGGAUUAGAUACCCUGGUAGUCCACGCCGUAAACGAUGAGUGCUAGGUGUUAGGCCCUUUCCGGGGCUUAGUGCCGGAGCUAACGCAAUAAGCACUCCGCCUGGGGAGUACGACCGCAAGGUUGAAACUCAAAGGAAUUGACGGGGGCCCGCACAAGCGGUGGAGCAUGUGGUUUAAUUCGAAGCAACGCGAAGAACCUUACCAGGUCUUGACAUCCCGAUGCUAUUCUUAGAGAUAGGAAGUUACUUCGGUACAUCGGAGACAGGUGGUGCAUGGUUGUCGUCAGCUCGUGUCGUGAGAUGUUGGGUUAAGUCCCGCAACGAGCGCAACCCUUAUUGUUAGUUGCCAUCAUUAAGUUGGGCACUCUAGCGAGACUGCCGGUAAUAAACCGGAGGAAGGUGGGGAUGACGUCAAAUCAUCAUGCCCCUUAUGACCUGGGCUACACACGUGCUACAAUGGUCGGUACAACGAGUUGCGAGCCGGUGACGGCAAGCUAAUCUCUGAAAGCCGAUCUCAGUUCGGAUUGGAGGCUGCAACUCGCCUCCAUGAAGUCGGAAUCGCUAGUAAUCGCGGAUCAGCACGCCGCGGUGAAUACGUUCCCGGGCCUUGUACACACCGCCC